Molecule: long non-coding RNA, 706 nt
Organism: Cyprinodon variegatus (sheepshead minnow)
Lineage: Eukaryota; Metazoa; Chordata; Actinopteri; Cyprinodontiformes; Cyprinodontidae
Exons: 3
Source: RefSeq, a predicted model, not a curated record
UUUCGGAGAGCAACACUUUAAAGAUUUAUGGUUUGUUUGAUAUUACAGUCUUUAUUUUGAUAAACUGAACAUUUGAAUCAAUGUUUUUUGCUUGUGAGAACUGAUCUGGUGCUUUUUAAUCUUUCAGUACCCGUAUAUUCCAGCUCAUAUUACUAAACCUAAGGAGCAUAAAAAGCUGUUCCUGGUCCAGCUGCAGGAGAAAGCAUUAUUCGCCGUUCCCAAAAAUUAUAAGCUGGUCGCCGCUCCAUUGUUUGAGUUGUAUGACAACGCCCCUGGAUAUGGACCAAUCAUUUCCAGUCUACCACAGCUAUUGAGCAGGUUCAACUUUAUCUACAACUAACCCAAGCAGCGGUGUGGCUGUCUCUGUGAGUGCAGCCAGAGAGGCAUUGUGCUGAAAAAAAGGACUCCAUCUCUUCUCUAUCUUUUACAAAUACAAACACCUGUCAUGAAUGGUAAAUAAAAUAUCUGCAGGGGUGUUAUUGCUAUUGUAAGGAGCAAAACAUUAUGUUCGAGUUGUUUUUUUUUUGUUUUAUUUUUUAAACUUGUGAAACUGCAACUUUUUGUAGUAUGCAGGUCUGUGUCAGAAUCUGGUUUUAUGUUUGCCUGAAAGAUGCCAAUGUUUGAUUAAAAAAAAUACAACAUUGCGUUUCCUGUUGUUUAAACCUGUACCCACGCUGUCUUUUUUAAAAUAAAGUUGUGUUUAUAG